UAUCGAUCUGAAAUCAGGUGGGACUACCCGCUGAACUUAAGCAUAUCAAUAAGCGGAGGA
This 60-nucleotide ribosomal RNA is filed under the name Saksenaea vasiformis. RNAcentral describes it as "partial 28S ribosomal RNA". It matches the Rfam family "Eukaryotic large subunit ribosomal RNA", at positions 1 to 57 of the family's 3401-position model. Lineage: Eukaryota; Fungi; Mucoromycota; Mucoromycetes; Mucorales; Saksenaeaceae. The record is from RNAcentral.